Tyto alba (common barn owl) is the source of this 4061-nucleotide RNA transcript. It is a transcript of the gene named cardiolipin synthase 1, with no coding region annotated. The transcript is spliced from 9 exons. The record is from RefSeq and is a predicted model, not a curated record. Lineage: Eukaryota; Metazoa; Chordata; Aves; Strigiformes; Tytonidae.
CCAAGCACCGACCCCAAGCGCCUGCUCGUCUGCUCUCAAGUCCCUCACGCUAAAGCAAACCUCGCCUUCCUCCCCGAAGUGCUGCCAGGAGCGCAGCCGCCCGCCGGAGAGCUUGGGCCGGCAGUAUGAAAACCCCUGGACGAUCCCGAAUAUGCUGUCAAUGGCAAGGAUGGGUUUGGUGCCAGUUUUAGGCUAUUUGAUUGUUGAAGAAAAUUUCAGCGUUGCACUAGGUGUCUUCGUUUUGGCUGGCGUGACGGAUUUGCUGGAUGGAUUUAUUGCACGAAACUGGGCUAAUCAGAAAUCAGCUUUGGGAAGUGCUCUUGACCCUCUGGCUGAUAAAAUUCUCAUCAGUGUGCUCUAUGUAAGCCUAACUUGUGCAAAUCUUAUCCCAGUUUCACUGACUUCCAUGAUCAUUCUGAGGGAUGUAGCGCUCAUUGCUGCUGUUUUUUACGUGCGAUAUAAAACUCUUUCUCCACCGAGAACACUCAGUAGGUAUUUUAACCCCUGUUACGCUACUGCCCAAUUAAAACCAACAUUCAUUAGCAAGAUGAAUACAGCGGUUCAGCUAAUUUUGGUGGCAGCUUCUUUAGCAGCUCCUGUUUUCAAUUAUGUGGACAGCGUAUAUCUGCAGACGUUAUGAUACCUUUGAAAUACCGCAUGAAGCUGCCAGGAAAUGGAAGUACAGCGGUCCGGUGAAGGCUCGGAGUGUCGGCAGUGAGUGAGACGUGCUACGCGCCUAAAGCCUGAUGUUAAAUAAAACCUAACAUCGUGUUGGAGCCGCCGCUUUCGCCGCUUAGGGCACCAGGGAUGGAGCAGAGACCUUUACAGAGCAGCUGUGAUUCUUACAGUGAAGAGUUUGACCUGCUACACCUUUCCUCCUCGUAAAGGCUCAGCUGUUAACAACCACCAUGGCAGCUACUGGUUUGGGGGAAUGUGUUUUAUAUUUCACUGAGCUGACAGGAGGGAGAACCAUUCCAUCCAUGCCAAAAGGAAGACCUGCUGGCUGGUAUCCUGAGACUGGAAGCUUACCUCUCGCCUGUCAGACCUGUCAAUGUGUAACACAAAUUGUCAAAAUAGGAGAGCUCUUGGACUCUAAUAAACAGUGUUUGUGAAGCACAACCUACCAACUAGUUGAAAACUACUGUCUCCAGAAACGUGGGAAAGUCAACUGGACUAAGAUCCAGGGAACAUCUAUGGGAACAGCUCAUUUAUUUUAUAGGACUGGAUAUCUCAGCAGCCCUUGGGAGAGAGUCUGAUCAUUACAUGCUUACAAAGGAGGACCCAGAAACCACAGGGUUGCAGAGAUAUUCUCAAAUUCCUCCUGUCUGAAGCUACUAUUUGCAGAAGAACAUGCUGAGCUAACUUUGACAAAUAGCUUAGUGUCACUAGGACCCAUGCGUGCCGUUAGGCCCAAAGAUGCUGAGAGCUGCUUCUGUUCCUGCCCUGCUCUCCCAGGGUUACCUCUCUUCUUAGAUAAGGAGAAAGAAACUGCACACCCCAAAGCUGCGUGCAGCAGGCACCCCCUAUUUGCCCCAAAUUCAGUAGAGGUUUUCUUCUAGGGGUGAUAAGUGAAAGGAAUGCAUAGUAUCCUGAUGUUAACAAGAAUUGGCUUUGUGUGAUCAAGGUGUUUUGGCUGAGCGGGGUCCCUUGACAUGUUCCUCCUCUCUGCAGCUGGUCCCCCCUCCCUGCGCAUGUGCUCCAAGGCUCUGAGAAACAGUUUUCAACGUUGUGUUUCUAAGAGCAUCCAAAUUACAAGGGCUGUGAUACAGGAAUAGCCUCACUCCCACUUCCCCAAAACCUCAAGAGGUGGGCUCAUUAGUAUGGUACACAGCACUGAAUUGUUUGUUUCUUUGAGCUUGUGAUUUCUUUGUGCUACAGGCUGGCAGCAGCCUGCAAUUUUGAGGGUCAGCUGGAGGAAAUGCCUACACAUGCUGGCAUGGCCAGCUUUUGGAGCUGUUCUGUAAUGGUUGACAAGUAAUGUUGUAUUUCUGGAAGUGAAGUGUGUUCUUUUUUCCCAGUGGGAUUUACCAAUUGUUUUUUCUCGCUGGUGUUGCAUGAUUGUCAGGCUUUAUUUCUCAGAAGAGAUAAUGAAUUUAAGUCUGUUUUCCUGUUCUGUGUACACAGGCACAUGUCUAAUGGAUCUAAUUACGCCAAUACAAAACUCUCCAGAUUAUCAAAUAUUGUUCCAUUAAGGAAAUAGUAUUUGAAAUCAUAUUUUUAUUGUCUGAGUUGUAUUUGGAGACAUAGUGGGUAUGUAUUGAAGGUGAAAGCAAGGAGAAGUCAGUAUGACCAAAACUGUUUCUUGUUUAAAAGCAUCUGCCCAGCCUCUGGGCAGCCAAAAAAGCUGUAGCCAAUUGCUGAGAGUAGGAUGUGCGUGCUUGUAGUAUGACAUGCUGUCCAUAAACUGUACUUCCCAGGGGAAGAAAAAAGUAUUAUUUUAACAAAUCUCAAAAUACAUAACGUGAGGAAGUUUUUAAUAACUAAUGCUGUUCUCUUACAGGCUCUAAUUUUGAAAAUAGGCAAGUUUUCCUUAGUCGCUUGAGUGAAUAGUCGUAGUAAUGUAAAAAUGCGAUUACUCGCUGUCCUAGAACAGCUAUGAUUAUAUAUAUUCUUAGGAAACUUUUCUGUUUUGUUAAUUGAAGAUUUUUAUGUUGAAAUAGUAAUUCAUUUGUGAUUCCCAAUGAAAACUGGAAUUUGGUCCUACAUAAUUUUUUUCCUCAAUGUCAUCAUACUUUUAACACAGCACUUCUUGACGUGCUAUAGAACUGUGUAGAGAUGGGACAGUCUGUAAAUAAAAAGAGGGCAUUUUGCAAAAGCAUGCUCAUUGAGGGCUGCUGAAGAGACAAGGUGGGAAACAACUAAGGCGGUAUCGCCAUGCACACACACAUAGCUCGGAAUAUAAAGUCUGUGUAAUAUAGUGGCAUGUGUCACUGAGAGUACAGUGAGUGAGGGUACAGCAGGAGAUCCUGCACUUUGAGGUCUGCCUGGACUAAUUGCCUGGCUUUAAGGAGAUGUAUCCGUCUUGAACCAAUCCUGACAGUGACUCAGCUGUAGGAGCUGAUGGAUAAAACAGAUUUCAGCACCUUUAAGUUUCCAGUUACGGUGCUGAAAUGCAUUUGGGUUGUUUAUUCCAGCAGUGCAACCAUCUUUAUCAGUGCUGUGGGAGCUGGACAAUAGCUGGUCAUUGUCCUGCUGGUGGUAAAUGCUCAUCCAAAGCUCCUGGGGUUGAAAAGCGAGAGAGGGAGACCUAUAAUCAGAUAUGUUUUGUCUGUCUUCAGUUAUAGGCACAGAAGAACCACUCCUGUUUUAACUUCAGAUCAAUCCUUAGAAAUACCAGUAAGGUGUAUUCACUGUAAUCUGAUAUUCUAUGUAAUACAUGACCACUGUUAAAAGUAAUGGAAAGAACUGUUUGUAAUGCUGUGUAGAGUAUGACUGGAAAUACUAUUUUUUGUCAAGUUAAAUGAAAAUGUUUCCUCAAAUGUUUUUCUUACUUAAAAGCAUUUAAAACACAAAGUCUGAAAUUUAACUGUGGUCAUUCAUAUGAGCAAUGGAGUAGAACUACACUUGUUUAAAGAAUUAGUUGUAUUAAGUGUUCGUACAACAAAGGAGGUGGAAGAUCAGUGAAUUGUUCUCUCAAUCUUUGUUACUUAUAUCACGUUUCCUGUCCACAGCGAAAUGUUUCCAAGUUAAGAUGAAAAAGAACAUUAAAAUGAGUUGCUGUUCUUAUGUGACUUGAAAACCUUUAGAGCUGAUGGUAGCUAUACUGAAGUAUAACUCAAUGAUUGUUUGUACCCACUUCCAAUUAAAAUUUAUAUUAAUUAUUUUAAGGAAAAACCCGUGAGUUUUUAAGUAGUAGUCAUAUUUCCAAGCUGAGUGAGAUUCUAGUCUGAAUGAUGGACUUUAUCUGUAUAUUAUUUAAAGCAUGCAUUAUACUCCACCAAAAUACGGUAUGGUGGUUAUCUCCUGGUUUCUUAGCUGUGUACAUGUACAGUAUAAAGUGAUCCAUAUUGUGUGUACCUGUUCCUGUGUAUCCGAGAGAGAUAAAUGUUUGCUAAUUAUGA